This is a long non-coding RNA of Gasterosteus aculeatus aculeatus (three-spined stickleback), 4123 nucleotides long. RefSeq lists it as uncharacterized. NCBI's taxonomy places the organism in Eukaryota, Metazoa, Chordata, Actinopteri, Perciformes, Gasterosteidae. The record is from RefSeq and is a predicted model, not a curated record.
AAUUAAGUUUGUGUUGCUCUUAAACUAAUAUUUAUCCAAGUUGCACGCAAGGGAAGUUACUGGUUAAAUGCCAAUUAGAUAAUUUUCACUCUGUGCCAAUAAAAGGGGAGCAGAUAAACAAAAGCGUGGCGUUACGUCAUGUAUGGGAGUGAGGGAAAGAGAAGCACACCGGAUCACAGAAAGAAAGAAAAAAGGUGUUGACUGUAUAAGAGGCUGGCCAGAAACGGCAGCACACCCCUCCCUGGCAAACACAGGCAAACGCAGGACAGACUCCAUCCUGGAUUCAUCUGCACCAUUCACGAGACGGCACUUUGGAGCUGCGACGGAGCCGUGUGUCGGGUCCGGUCCACGGACUAUUGCCAUUCGAGCUCGGGACUGGACGUGACAUUGCUCCACUGCUAUUUCUCUGGUUAACGGGUCCAACAUCAGGAUGGAAAUCCAACCGCUGCUCGCCCUUCUCGCUAUUUUUGAUUCACCGAGCACCGGGCGGACCGGUGCGUUUGGCGAGCAGAUGUGUGCUGCUGUCGGCACUGGGCGCUCAGACCCCCUCCGUCCCACGCCGGCCAAUGUACCCAGACCCACUGCGUCUACACUGUAAGAAGUGUCAAUCUGACCAAGUCAUUCUAGCCUUGCACCUAUAAAUGUUAAAAGUUAUAGCUGACAACGUGUUAAAUCUCCAACAACGACCGAUGGCCGUUUCUUAAUACCUUUGGUGGUGACCUUUUCGAAAAAGGGCAAUUUUUAUUAUUAUUAUUGUGCAAUGCGUGUAAUGCGUAAUAGCCAGAAUUGGCAGAAUUUUGUAGUGGAAUAAAUAUUGUACAAUUCUGAAUAAAGUGUGUUAAUAUUUUUUUGCAGUGCAUAAUCUCUAGGUCUCAGGUAACCUGUUACUGCGGAAGCAAUGUCGUUGUUCAACCCUUUUGAAGCCUAAAAUAACGCGCGACUAUAACGAUUAAGUCUGUAAACAGCUGCCAACUUGUACAUUCGGGUGCAAUUGGUCACCCCAUGUGUGUGGGAGCAUUUAAUACAACAACGCCUCUAUUUGAAAUGAAAUAAAUAGACGCUGUAAUUUCUUAGUGAUAGUUUGCACAAUUAUCUAUAAAUGUGCCGCACAACUUUACUGGAAAAGCGUGUGCAAAAAGUUUUUAACACCUCUCCCUCUCUUCCUCUCUCCCUCUUUUUCCCUCCCUCUCCCCCCUUUCUUUUAUUGUUUUUAUUGUGUGGUCUCAUUAGGGGGACUUCCUGGCAGGGCUGGGAGCUUGUAUCGGAGCUGUCCAAUCAGUGUAUUUACACGGGUUGUUAGCGACAGUUAAUGAGGGCUCCUCCCCGGGCCGGUAGAGAAAGGCGCCUCGACAUUAAGAUUUACCUUGUGUCAACUCGUUACUUCUAAUGAACCUCCAUGCAAAAGCCUCCUCGUACUCAAUGGAGCCGUGCGCCCGGAUCUUGUGUGUGAGACCCUGGAAGAGUGGAGCUGCAUGGACGGCCUCCCUCUCCCCCCUUUUCAUCCGCUCACUUGGGGAGAGUCGCUUUUUUUUCUUCUUCCCUCUGCAUGUCAGGGCUGUGAUGCAUGCACACAUGCCUGUUGGUGCGCGGUCGCGCCCGCGCGCGCGCGCGUGUGUCCAGUGCAGUGUGGGUGGUGCAUUGCAACCAUGCUCUCAAUAAGGACGCGACGGUGGCAGACACCCCAACUCGUUCUCCCAACUUCCCACGUGCUGACGCCGUGGCCUCGUGUCCUCAACAAUGGAACAAUGUGGUGAUAGUGUGCUGUAAAUUAACACGCCGCCUUAAGACAAUGAAGUCAAAUGUGUUGAAACUCACCCCGGGUUUUUAAAGAUUAUUGUCCGGUCGUCGCCGCGUGAGAGGGGACAGAGGGACAGCAUCAACAAGCCCGAUGUGUCUUCCAUUGUUGGCUGAAUGACGCUUGACAUGCCCGCUUGCUGCCUCUGCAGAGGCAAGUUCGUUUCUAAUCACUCUCCAUCCCCCAUCAGAGCGCCGAGCUCGGCCCAGGCUCUGGCCCCUCGUCCCCCCCCUCGCCCCCUCGCCUGGCCCCCAGUGUGGCUUGGUGAGCCGCAUCAGCAACACAUCACCGCCCCUCAAUUCAGGUACAAACUGGAGGAGUUUGGCGGAUCCCUGAAGUGGACUCCCCUCUUGCUCCUCUAACCCACAGAGACACCACUUAAAAAUCAAUUAGGCCGGUUUGGUCUCCCCCUCCCUGCCAGUCACAAUUUCCAAAAUAGGUGUGUCCCACAAACAUUUUGGAGGGACUUAAAAGUAAAAGCUAUGGUCCUUCUGAAUUCUCUCUGCCUUCAUUGGCUCAUUUGUCAUUAGUCUACACAAAGUAAAAGCGCCCCAUGUGCCCGUAUCAAAGGCCUUCAUGUUCUCGCCGCGUCGCCUCUUUCACCCUCCGUCCCCGGCGUUAAAGAGCUGCAGCGCUGGAGGAGGCGGUGUGUUCACUCUUCCAGGUAGACGAGCUGAUUUGGAGACAGAAGCAGAGACGGAGAAAUAAAUAAUAGGCGCAUAUCAGAUGCGUUGCCCCGAGCUUUACAUAUGAUGCUCACCUCCCAGUGACUUUGUUGAAGAGCAAAAAGAAGACCUCCACUUUCUCUCGAGUCGACAUGCAACCCUGAGCGAAUCCCUGUGCGUCGCCCAUCUGCACGCCUAUAAAAGUGCCCUGUGGACUCAGGGGAGGUAACACGAUGGCCACAGUUACAUCAGCGCAAAUGUUGAGAGAAUUUCUCCCCGAGUUUGGACUUGGCUGAUUAAGCGGCACAUCUCUUAUGGAUAGGAGCUAUAAACAGGCCGUCAUUACUCUCAACGCUUGCUGUGGUUGGACACACCGGCAACUUACACAGAGUCGAGGCCACGACCUCAGACAUUACAGACGUGAAACAGCCUCUUAUUAGCAUUGAAUGACGUGAAUGAAAACCGCUGUGAUUGACAGAGAAAUCAGAAAGAGUAAAGUAACUUUGUAUAUUUGCAAUUAAGAUACAUGUACUUCUACUCAGCACCAUUUCUGAAAGGACACUUUCAUCCUUGUCAUGGAGUCGUAUCAAGGCUGUCUUUACUUAACUUCUUCCAGUAAAGACAUUUACAUAUAAUAAAGACAAAAAUGACAAACUGUCUAUAAAUAGGCUGCUCAUUUUUCAUCAGUAAUGGAAGUGGAGUAACUAACCCUAAGCCUAUAGCUGCAGGCAGCUUUAGGGUGGUGUUUCCAUGUUUUGUUACAAAAGAGGGAAACGUACUUUUUAACUUCACCAUUAUCUUAAAUAUUUUUAUAGUUCAGAUCUAACUGAAGAAUGUAUAACAAUUUAAAUAUGUAUUUAUAGAAUAGUUGAAAUAGUCCCACUUCUAAAACAUCAAUUACUGUUCUACAUUACACAUAAACGUCAGGUUUAGCUUUAUUAUUACUACUUUUCCCUAAUGUUAAAUGUCUAAGUACGACCACUACACUUGAUAUUUCAGUAUAUCGUGAAUCUAAAUCGUUCACACCUUGUGGUUUAACUCCUCUCACAACAAUUUCUCCCUAUGCAGGUAAACUGUAUUUAGUAAUCCACUCAUGUGAGUGAUCCAUAGAUCCCUAUCGAGGGCCCCUCUGUCUCUCCCUCUUUUCUGUGUCCGUGUGAAGGUCACAGUCACCGAAUCACCCACGAUCCUGUCAUUGUCUGCGCACGUUUUGUCGCGGUGUUUGCGUGGCACGCAACGAACAGAACCGACGUCACCCCCCUCCCCCCACCCCCCCUCCUCCACCUCCUCCACCCUCCUUGUCAUUGACUGCAGCUUUUGACGUUACUCGACUCGAUUGCCCGUUUACCCCCGAGUCAAGUUCGAGAUGGGCAAGAAGUGUAAAAGAGGUGUGCCACGUCACAUCCGCUCAGCGCGCAUGGGCCUGUCGGUGCGCGCGGCUGGGAUCAUUGUUCGGGAGAACAAUUCCCGCACGGAACCGGCAGGAAGACAGCGGGGGGAAAAAAAGUGCAAAAGUAGUUUGCACACUAUUUUCACUGCAGCGUGUGUAGACUGCUUUUUUUUGCUGUCUUAGGCGUGGUCUAGUGCGGUUUUACAGUUAUAUAUUCAAUAUUAAAAUGAUUGUUUUACCUUUCAUUAAAUCUGUUCGUUUGACUGUAACAUU